RNAcentral lists this long non-coding RNA (429 nucleotides) under Rattus norvegicus (Norway rat). Its description in RNAcentral is "long non-coding RNA NONRATT020040". The record is from RNAcentral. Lineage: Eukaryota; Metazoa; Chordata; Mammalia; Rodentia; Muridae.
CGCAAGGAUCCUCAUGGGGAGAAAAGGGAAUUCCAGGACACUCCCUACGAGAUGACAGGUGCCCCUGCUCAGUGUGAAGGGCCAGAUCAGGCCCAGUUCAUGGGGAACAGGGCACCCUUUCAGUUUGGAGGCCAGAGGCGGCCACUGCUAACUCAGAUAAAAGGGCCCCGUGGAGGACCUCCACCCUCUCAGUUUGGAGGCCAAAGGGGACCACCUCCUGGUCAUUUUGUCGGCCCACGUGGGCCCCACCCUAGUCAGUUUGAAACUUCACGGGGCACUCACCCUGGCCAGUUUGAAGGGGCCAGAGGCCAAGCACCAGGUUUCAUGCCAGGCCCCCGGGGCGUUCAGCCCCAGCAAUUUGAAGAGCAGAGAGUGAACUCACCACCAAGGUUUGCGGGCCAGAGGGCAUCAGCACCCCUGCCAUAUGGA